RNAcentral lists this ribosomal RNA (320 nucleotides) under uncultured eukaryote. RNAcentral's name for it is "partial 18S ribosomal RNA". It matches the Rfam family "Eukaryotic small subunit ribosomal RNA", at positions 1470 to 1796 of the family's 1831-position model. The record is from RNAcentral.
CCCUUAGAUGUUCUGGGCCGCACGCGCGCUACACUGAACAGUUCAACAAGUCUUAACCUUGGCCGAUAGGUCUGGGUAAUCUUUGAACGCUGUUCGUGAUUGGGAUAGACCUUUGCAAUUAUGGGUCUUCAACGAGGAAUUCCUAGUAAACGCAAGUCAUCAGCUUGCAUUGAUUACGUCCCUGCCCUUUGUACACACCGCCCGUCGCACCUACCGAUUGAAUGGUCCGGUGAAAUCUCGGGACGGCGGCUUGGUCGCUUGCGUCCGACUGCUGAAACUUGAUUAAACCAUAUCAUUUAGAGGGAGGUGAANUCGUANCA